RNAcentral lists this ribosomal RNA (208 nucleotides) under uncultured bacterium. RNAcentral describes it as "partial 16S ribosomal RNA". It matches the Rfam family "Bacterial small subunit ribosomal RNA", at positions 1293 to 1500 of the family's 1533-position model. The record is from RNAcentral.
UCAGAUUGCAGGCUGCAACUCGCCUGCAUGAAGUCGGAAUUGCUAGUAAUCGCAGAUCAGCAUGCUGCGGUGAAUACGUUCCCGGGCCUUGUACACACCGCCCGUCACACCAUGGGAGUCGGUAACACCCGAAGUCGGUAGCCUAACCGUAAGGAGGGCGCCGCCGAAGGUGGGAUUGAUGACUGGGGUGAAGUCGUAACAAGGUACC